CCGCCACUGAGCAACGUGUUUUCCGUGAAAUAAAACUAAAAGGCUCCUGGUCUCUGUUUACCAGGUAGAUAAAGAAAUCAUAGUCAUCAAAAGUAGCAAAGUGUUCAUUAAACUUGAUACAAAGUAUAUAUUUAGGUGUCUGAAUGUUUCCUGAUGGAAGCAUUUUCAAGGGCAUUUGCCUCAGCUAUGGGAACCAAACAUUUACAUGAAGGAAGGUUUAGAGGUGAACGUCCACUGCGGAGGUCGGAGAAGCACUCAGGUCAGCGGGCAGAGCGGCUAGUCGGUGGGCCGAGCUCUCUGCUACCCCCGCAGGAGUGUCCCGACGCCAUCCCAGAAGCAGCACCUGUGGGCCACGGCGUUUGCUUAGAGCCUGGACUGAGGCUGCCUGGACGGGGCCCCUCACCCGGCCAGAGUUAGGGGUGCCGCUGCCACCCCCAUGGACCCGCUUCGGGCUGCUCAGUCCUUGUUCAUUUGCAUCCAUCUUGGUUUUUAGGAAGGCAAGUUUCUCAGGAGCUCAGAAAAUUAAUUUCGUAGUGAUUAGGCUAUCCCCAGAGUAACACGUUCCAACUGUCACCAGCACGGACUUCUCAUGAAGCCUGGGACCAUUUGCAAGGACUCCCGGGUGUGUGUGUGUGUGUGUGUGUGUGUGUGUGUGUGUGUGUGUUUUCCUGUGUCCUCUGAGUAGACACCGCUAUGAAUGUAGACUUGAGGUUUCUUGGCAAACAUGUGUCCUCACUUAUGUGGCUGAGGAUUCUUCCCCGACUCAGGAUGCAAGUGCCAGGGGACCCGAGUCUCCGGGGAAAGCUGGGUGCAUGCACGGUUCUUUGAUCCGUCAUUUGAAUAAUUAGCUCUUAAUUAGCUGUCUGAGUAUGAUCAUCAGCUUGAAUGUAAGUUUCUUUAGAGGACACUGUGCUUUCCCAUCCUGGUAAGUGGCGAUGAUGGGUUUCUGGGUAUGAGGUUAAUUUGAGGAGGAAUUCUCACCUCCUAGAGCCUGGCAGACAGCAGUCAUGUGGCGCGUUAGCCAAUUACCGGGAAAGCUUCCUGUGCCCGGACGGAAUCUGCUUCCAGGAGCUGGGGGAGAGGAGGCUGCACAUUGCUCCUGGUCACUGCCGGCGCCUUCUGUAUCCUCUGACCCACCCUCCUACGGGAGGGAACGUCUCCGCUGGGGAAGACGACCGUGUGGGCUCAUCUCCAGCCACUGUGGUGACUAUUGUCGUCCCCUUCACUCCGGAUGCUCUUUCCCCCAUGGCCAGAUGCCAGCAGGGUUUGUCCCCAGGACCCUGCAGGAGAUCCCCUCUUCAUCAUCCUGGGAGUGUGACGUGGUCUGCUAAGCAAAGCUCCUUCCCUGCAGCAGGUGAGUCCUAGCUCAGAGGACACGGACGGUGAUUUUCCAACUGUCGUGCUCAGAACAAACUUUCACAUCCAAGAAAUGUUGCAGACAUCCUAGAAAGGAUGAAUCAAACCCACAGGCCCUCAGGCCCCCAUGCAACACUGUGCUGCCUUGGCACAGAAAUAUUUACAGCAGAGUUCCCGUGUGAGCCUGCAGACACAGCAACCAUUUUUUAUAACAGUUCUCCAAAGUCUCUCCUCUUGAAAACAGAGCAAGUUGCACCCUGGUCUCCGUAUCACAUCGGCCUGCAGUUUCACACGAUCUGCUUGGUUCGGAGUGCUGUCUUUCAGACCUGGCUGUGGCCACAUGCUCCUCACAGCUUGCACAUCCCUCAGUCUCGGCACCACGCCACACGGGAGGGGUUCCACCACGUCUCUGAGCUUAGGGUGGCCGGUGGUGCCCAGGGGAGGGGGAAGCCCGUGGCAGGCGUGGGAUGGAUUUGCUGAGUGACUCUAACCACUCCUUAUGGAAUGAGCACCACCUCGCCAGGGGCCUUGUCCUUGCCAUCCUGGGGCCACACGUGUGGCUGCAAGGUCCCUCUGGCAAACCUCCUUUCCCUCUGGGGCUGGUUGAGGACUCCAGGGGGCCAGCCUGGAGACCAAGGCCGUGCUGUGUGGUCAGCAGACCAGUGAGGAGUCAGCAGACCAGUGAGGGGUCAGCGUUCUGCUGUGGCUGCCUGGACUCCUCUUCCUCUCAAGACAGCAGUGUCUGGGGACUGCCAAAACCUCUGCAGGGACCAGCAGCACAGGAUCACAGAAUUCCACACUUCCUGCUAAAUCGGGGUCUCCUUUUCAUCCGUCACAUCUCCCUUCCCGACUGCACCAUCAACAUCAGUUCCUCAUCUCCACAGCCACCAAGGGCAGCUCAGCUCAAGCUCUAGGACUGGCCACCCCUCUUCCUGGACUGUGAUGAUGGAGAGAGGCCCCAGUCCCAGGCAGCCACGAGGACGGCGCCUGUCCAGACACACAAAGCAAGGGCCCCGCAGGAGAAGCAAGCCUCCCUCACUCCAGAUGCCUCGCCAUGAAGCCGUACACCCACCCAGCCGACCUGCACGCGAGAGCUGCUCAUUCGUUUUUCGGCUCGGCAGCUGCACGACCUUGUGGGUUCCUGAGCUGCUGGCUGGGAAGCUGAGGUUGGACUCAGACAGGCAGGAGGCACGCAGGCCCCGGAGUGAGGCGCCACCGUGGCUCAGGGCAGAGAAUGCUGAUCUGAGGAGGGAACAUCUAAACUAAGGCUUGGAGGAGACACAUGGCUCCAGCUCCACACCCGAGCACCUGCUGUUUACGGUUUGUGCUGACCGGAUGCUGUUUCUCCUUCCAUCUCCACCUGCAAAUGUUCUGCUGACCCUCAGGCCGGUUUGAAGACCAGCACAGCCCAUGUGAGCAGGGCACAGGGCCCCAUCCUGAGUGGCUGGCCUGUCCGGGGGAGGAAGUUCCACCCCACACCCACCCCACCACCACAGGAUGUGCCCAGAAGGCGGAGGGACUGGCCACUGUGGGGGCUCCCAUGUCCAGGCCGGGCCUCCUCAGCAUAAAAUCAGCUGACAGCAGCCUCAACGCGCCACUGCCUGAGAGGACACCGCCUCUCCAAACCUGGGAAGAAGGCAGCCACGCCCUGGGGAGGGAACAGGUGGAGGUGGGUGCCAGGACUAGCCAGGACUUCCUCCCAAAUAUUUAGAAACUUGAUUGCAAUGAAAAGAUAGCAUCACUGAAUUAAAGACGUCAUUUAUUAUGGAGCUGAGAUUUGGUUUGCCCAGCAGCUUAAAACAAUGUCACUCACAGCCUUGUGGCACCUUGGGACGGGCAGGUGCCUACACAAUUAUUUACUUAAGAACAUACCUUCCUUUAAAAUAACCAAUGUUGUACUUAGAUAAAUGUAUUUAC
Molecule: long non-coding RNA, 3273 nt
Filed under: Homo sapiens (human)
Lineage: Eukaryota; Metazoa; Chordata; Mammalia; Primates; Hominidae
Description: non-protein coding lnc-FAM20C-3:26
Source: RNAcentral